This 84-nucleotide microRNA precursor is filed under the name Bombyx mori (domestic silkworm). RNAcentral describes it as "mir-2807 microRNA precursor family". It matches the Rfam family "mir-2807 microRNA precursor family". Lineage: Eukaryota; Metazoa; Arthropoda; Insecta; Lepidoptera; Bombycidae. The record is from Rfam by way of RNAcentral.
UAUGCACUAAUUUGUAUGGAGUUGGAACGUUUGUCUACUUUUGCCGCUAGGGGCGCUGUCCCAACUGCAUACAAAUGUGAGUUA